AACGAACGCUGGCGGCAUGCCUAACACAUGCCAGUCGAACGAGACCUUCGGGUCUAGUGGCGCACGGGUGCGUAACGCGUGGGAACCUGCCCUUAGGUUCGGAAUAACUCCCCGAAAGGGGUGCUAAUACCGGAUAAUGUCUUCGGACCAAAGAUUUAUCGCCUUUGGAUGGGCCCGCGUUGGAUUAGCUAGUUGGUAGGGUAAAAGCCUACCAAGGCGACGAUCCAUAGCUGGUCUGAGAGGAUGAUCAGCCACACUGGGACUGAGACACGGCCCAGACUCCUACGGGAGGCAGCAGUGGGGAAUAUUGGACCACGGGCGAAAGCCUGAUCCAGCAAUGCCGCGUGAGUGAUGAAGGCCUUAGGGUUGUAAAGCUCUUUUACCCGGGAUGAUAAUGACAGUACCGGGAGAAUAAGCUCCGGCUAACUACGUG
This 433-nucleotide ribosomal RNA is filed under the name uncultured bacterium. RNAcentral describes it as "partial 16S ribosomal RNA". It matches the Rfam family "Bacterial small subunit ribosomal RNA", at positions 29 to 507 of the family's 1533-position model. The record is from RNAcentral.